GCCUGUGUAGCUCAGUUGGCAGAGCUUCAGACUUUUAAUAUGAAGGUCCAGGGUUCAAGUCCCUGUACAGGUG
This is a non-coding RNA of Pleuronectes platessa (European plaice), 73 nucleotides long. Lineage: Eukaryota; Metazoa; Chordata; Actinopteri; Pleuronectiformes; Pleuronectidae. The record is from the annotation of a RefSeq genome assembly.